Molecule: transfer RNA, 72 nt
Organism: Toxocara canis (dog roundworm)
Lineage: Eukaryota; Metazoa; Nematoda; Chromadorea; Rhabditida; Toxocaridae
Rfam family: tRNA
About the family: Transfer RNA (tRNA) molecules are approximately 80 nucleotides in length. Their secondary structure includes four short double-helical elements and three loops (D, anti-codon, and T loops).
Source: Rfam
CGAGCAGUAGCUCAAUGGUAGAGCUCCCGUUUCGUAUGCGGGAAGACCUGGGUUCCAUUCCCGGCUGCUUAC